GACGAACGCUGGCGGCGUGCUUAACACAUGCAAGUCGAACGGAAAGGCCCUGCUUUUGUGGGGUGCUCGAGUGGCGAACGGGUGAGUAACACGUGAGUAACCUGCCCUUGACUUUGGGAUAACUUCAGGAAACUGGGGCUAAUACCGGAUAGGAGCUCCUGCUGCAUGGUGGGGGUUGGAAAGUUUCGGCGGUUGGGGAUGGACUCGCGGCUUAUCAGCUUGUUGGUGGGGUAGUGGCUUACCAAGGCUUUGACGGGUAGCCGGCCUGAGAGGGUGACCGGCCACAUUGGGACUGAGAUACGGCCCAGACUCCUACAGGAGGCAGCAGUGGGGAAUAUUGCACAAUGGACGGAAGCCUGAUGCAGCAACGCCGCGUGCGGGAUGACGGCCUUCGGGUUGUAAACCGCUUUCGCCUGUGACGAAGCGUGAGUGACGGUAAUGCGUAAAGAAGCACCGGCUAACUACGUG
This 468-nucleotide ribosomal RNA is filed under the name uncultured bacterium. RNAcentral describes it as "partial 16S ribosomal RNA". It matches the Rfam family "Bacterial small subunit ribosomal RNA", at positions 28 to 507 of the family's 1533-position model. The record is from RNAcentral.